Long non-coding RNA from Pan troglodytes (chimpanzee), 448 nucleotides. RefSeq lists it as uncharacterized. Lineage: Eukaryota; Metazoa; Chordata; Mammalia; Primates; Hominidae. The transcript is spliced from 2 exons. The record is from RefSeq and is a predicted model, not a curated record.
CAGAGCUGGAUGCCCUCCACCCUCCAGCCAAACUUAUUUUUUUCAUAUCAUAGCUGCAGAAUAUUCGGACCCUCUAGUCCCAGCCGCCCAGUGAACUUGAGCUGUGUGACCUUGAGCAAAAGGCAAAAUCUUUCUGAUUUUCAGUCCCCUCAUCCGGAAAAGGAGGAGGCUGUGGGACAUGAUGAUCUUUGAAAGUCUAAUAAUGAAACAAACAGAAAACCUGUGCUUCUAAGUUGGUGAGUCUGGAAAGGCUUGGUGUACAGUUGAUGUCUAGAAUAUAUUAACAGAAGGCUGCCCUGUAGAAGUUUUGAGUUAAUGGUUUCCAUCAACGUAGGAGUGGAAGAAGCUACUGGGGAUCAGGAAUCAGAAGUCCUGGCUUUAAGCCCUAGCUUUAGCCCUCACUGGCAAUAAAAUCAAAGAGACCUUCAGUUUCUCCACUUUUAAGGUU